GACGAACGCUGGCGGCGUGCCUAAUACAUGCAAGUAGAACGCACAGUUUAUACCGUAGCUUGCUACACCAUAAACUGUGAGUUGCGAACGGGUGAGUAACGCGUAGGUAACCUGCCUGGUAGCGGGGGAUAACUAUUGGAAACGAUAGCUAAUACCGCAUAAUAUUAAUUAUUGCAUGAUAAUUGAUUGAAAGAUGCAAUUGCAUCACUACCAGAUGGACCUGCGUUGUAUUAGCUAGUAGGUGAGGUAACGGCUCACCUAGGCGACGAUACAUAGCCGACCUGAGAGGGUGAUCGGCCACACUGGGACUGAGACACGGCCCAGACUCCUACGGGAGGCAGCAGUAGGGAAACUUCGGCAAUGGACGAAAGUCUGACCGAGCAACGCCGCGUGAGUGAAGAAGGUUUUCGGAUCGUAAAGCUCUGUUGUAAGAGAAGAAAGGGUGUGAGAGUGGAAAGUUCACACUGUGACGGUAUCUUACCAGAAAGGGACGGCUAACUACGUG
This 505-nucleotide ribosomal RNA is filed under the name uncultured bacterium. RNAcentral's name for it is "partial 16S ribosomal RNA". It matches the Rfam family "Bacterial small subunit ribosomal RNA", at positions 28 to 507 of the family's 1533-position model. The record is from RNAcentral.